CCUCCUUUUUUCCUCAUUAAGGAAUAUUGGUCAAUGGACGCAAGUCUGAACCAGCCAUGCCGCGUGGAGGAUGAAGGUCCUCUGGAUUGUAAACUUCUUUUAUUUGGGAAGAAACUCCCGAUUUCCAUCGGGAUUGACGGUACCAGAUGAAUAAGCACCGGCUAACUCCGUGCCAGCAGCCGCGGUAAUACGGAGGGUGCAGGCGUUAUCCGGAUUAACUGGGUUUAAGGGGUGCAUGUAUGUCAGGGGAGAAAUCUCCGGGCUUAACCCGGAAACUGCCAUUGAUACUAUUUGUCUUGAAUACUCUGGAGGUGAGCGGAAUAUGUCAUGUAGCGGUGAAAUGCUUAGAUAUGACAUAGAACACCCAUUGCGAAGGCAGCUCACUACGGAAAUAUUGACGCUGAGGCACGAAAGCGUGGGGAUCAAACAGGAUUAGAUACCCUGGUAGUC
Molecule: ribosomal RNA, 450 nt
Filed under: uncultured bacterium
Lineage: Bacteria
Description: partial 16S ribosomal RNA
Rfam family: Bacterial small subunit ribosomal RNA
Source: RNAcentral